UGGGGAAUAUUGGACAAUGGGCGCAAGCCUGAUCCAGCCAUGCCGCGUGAGUGGUGAAGGCCUUAGGGUUGUAAAGCUCUUUUAGCGGGGAAGAUAAUGACGGUACCCGCAGAAAAAGCCCCGGCUAACUUCGUGCCAGCAGCCGCGGUAAUACGAAGGGGGCUAGCGUUGCUCGGAAUUACUGGGCGUAAAGCGCACGUAGGCGGACUCUUAAGUCGGUGGUGAAAUCCUGGAGCUCAACUCCAGAACUGCCUUCGAUACUGGGAGUCUUGAGUUCGGGAGAGGUGAGUGGAACUGCGAGUGUAGAGGUGAAAUUCGUAGAUAUUCGCAAGAACACCAGUGGCGAAGGCGGCUCACUGGCCCGAUACUGACGCUGAGGUGCGAAAGCGUGGGGAGCAAACA
RNAcentral lists this ribosomal RNA (402 nucleotides) under uncultured bacterium. RNAcentral's name for it is "bacterial SSU rRNA". It matches the Rfam family "Bacterial small subunit ribosomal RNA", at positions 355 to 774 of the family's 1533-position model. The record is from RNAcentral.